GUGCGGAGCUUCCCGGAACGAAAGUCUUCCGGUUCCGGGGGAAGUAUGGUUGCAAAGCUGAAACUUAAAGGAAUUGACGGAAGGGCACCACCAGGAGUGGAGCCUGCGGCUUAAUUUGACUCAACACGGGGAAACUCACCCGGGCCGGACACCGCGAGGAUUGACAGAUCGAGAGCUCUUUCUUGAUUCGGUGGAUGGUGGUGCAUGGCCGUUCUUAGUUCGUGGAGCGAUUUGUCUGGGUUAUUCCGAUAACGAGCGANACUCUAGCCUGCUAAAUAGCGGAAGCAUUGCCUCGUGCCCACCGCUUCUUAGAGGGAUUGGCGGCUCCCAGCCGCACGAAACUGAGCAAUAACAGGUCUGUGAUGCCCUUAGAUGUCCGGGGCUGCGCGCGCGCUACACUGGCGAAGGCAGCGUGCCUGUCCUGCCGCGAAGGCGGUGGGUAAACCAUUGAAAAUUCGCCGUGAUUGGGAUCGGAGAUUGCAAUUAUUCUCCGUGAACGAGGAAUUCCAAGUAAGUGCGAGUCAUCAGCUCGCGUUGAUUACGUCCCUGCCCUUU
This 555-nucleotide ribosomal RNA is filed under the name Malenchus sp. MHb49. RNAcentral's name for it is "SSU rRNA". It matches the Rfam family "Eukaryotic small subunit ribosomal RNA", at positions 1079 to 1661 of the family's 1831-position model. The record is from RNAcentral. Lineage: Eukaryota; Metazoa; Nematoda; Chromadorea; Rhabditida; Tylenchidae.